RNAcentral lists this transfer RNA (76 nucleotides) under Candidatus Giovannonibacteria bacterium RIFCSPHIGHO2_01_FULL_48_47. Its description in RNAcentral is "tRNA-Glu". It matches the Rfam family "tRNA". Rfam says of the family: Transfer RNA (tRNA) molecules are approximately 80 nucleotides in length. Their secondary structure includes four short double-helical elements and three loops (D, anti-codon, and T loops). RNAcentral also lists the same sequence under 4 other names. The record is from RNAcentral. Lineage: Bacteria; Candidatus Giovannoniibacteriota.
GGCGCAUUCGUCUAGUGGAUUAGGACGCACGGUUCUCAUCCGUGUAACACGGGUUCGACUCCCGUAUGCGCCGCAA